UAUGGCCUGACAACUGAUAUGUAGGUUCCAACCUGUGAUCUGAACCAGCGAAUCCUAGGCUGUGGAAGUGGAGGGCCCAAACUCAACCACUAAGCCACUGGGCUGGCCCCUAAAAAUAUAUUUCUUUGCUCUCACUCCAACUUGUGUUUUGAGCGCAAGUAGUAAGAAUGAAUAUGCUUCUCAUAUGUAACCUAGGCACAUAGACCAAAUGCCAAAAGAAACCAGCUAGUAAGCCUCUCCUGCCCCCAACCUUCACUGUGGGCCUUUAUCUUCUCUUCAGGGGUGUCUGUGCCUGUCGGGCAAGCACAGGGAGGGAUGGGGGAAUCAGUCCGUAUGGUGUUAGUAAAGUUUGAUUUUCUUAUUUGGCUUAAAAAAAAAGGAGCAAGGGGCCGGCCUGGUGGCGCAGCAGUUAAAUUCGCACGUUCUGCUUCUCAGCGGCCCGGGGUUCGCCAGUUCAGAUCCCGGGCGCGGACAUGGCACUGCUUGGCAUGCCAUGCUAUGGUAGGCGUCCCACAUAUAAAGUAGAGGAAGAUGGACACGACGUUAGCUCGGGGCCAGGCUUCCUCAGCAAAAAAAAGAGGAGGACUGGCAGUAGUUAGCUCAGGGCUAAUCUUCCUCAAAACAACAACAACAACAACAAAAACAAAAGAAAAAAAAAGGAGAGAGAAAGGAGUUGUAAUAGUUUCUUUCUGUAGCCCAGCGUUCACCCAUCUGCAUGCCUUAUAUAAAAGGAAAGCAGGCUCAGAUCCAGGUUUUGUGGAACUUGGGACUGUUACAAUUUCUGAGGAGAGGAAACUAAGAAAAAGAAUACAAACAAAGUCUUACUUUUGCAACUUCUACAAACUCUGUGACCCUAGGAACACGGCUAGAGCGGUCCCAAGUGGAGGGGAAGAGGACCCUGCGGGGGAUCUCGCAUCUCCCGCAUGGAGGUGGGAGAAGCGCCUUCAGCAAUUUGAGGAGGCUGCUCCUGAAAACGAGCAAGCUUGGGAAAGAGGGCUCUUUUGCAAAAGAUUGCUUAGUGGACUGGAAUUUAAAUUUCCUUCGCGGAUUGGGUCCUCUUCACCGGGCCUUCACUCUUAGAAAAGCCUGCCUUCUGUGCUAAACUGUUCAAAAAACAAUCCGGGCAGCACUGGGGCUGGGAGCUCUGGAGCUGAUAAGGAGCGAGCUCAAAGGUUUAGAUAACAUCACAGCCAUUCACGCUGGCCGUCUUUUCUCUUCCCUCCUAAAACUGAGGGCUGGAGUCUUGGGUAGCAGGGCUCGCGGCUCGAGAAGAAGGAAGCAUAGAUUUUUGGUAAAGAACAGUCUGGACUUAUUAAAGACGGUCACACUGCUUCGGCCCGGUCAGGGGGGCCCAUUCUCCCUCUUCCUUGCAGGCGAGAAAUUUGAGAUGAAACUGGUCUUGCAGAAAUCUCAGCUGUCUCCCUUUUAAGGCAUUGUUUUCAAUGUAAGAGGGCAAAGGAAAACCCAAGAAAAGGCCGAGGCUAAUAGAGGACGUCGAGGGCCUGAAAACACUGCAAUCAAGGGGAGAGCCGGGGGCGCCGAAUUGAAGCAGGGGAAAUAAAGCUUCCACUGGGGGCCUGAACGUGCUGGCAAGUGGCAAUGCCCGAGAGAGUCUAUUUUUAAAGAAUCACAGAUCCAUUCCUGCCCUCAGCUCCUUACUCCACCUGCGCGCCAGGCGGGGCGCCCGCCUCCAGGCCCCUGCGGCCCCCUCCGGCCUGAUACUGCAUAACACGCCUCGGGUAUAUCGCGCUGCAGCGCCGCGCUCCUCGUUCACCCGAACCUGUAGGGCAGCAGCAUCCUGUCCACCCGGACUCCCCUGGGGACUGCGCAGGAGAAAGGGGCAAGAAAACUCUUUGAAACACAAACAACCGAUUCACAGUAAGGCGGGCGCCGUGUUUACCCACCCGAAGCCAGGCAGCCACGUGACUGGUGGAGGCCACGUGACAAGUUCACGUACGGCCAGGUUACUGGUUGACAGGGGCCACGUGAUUGGCUGACGUUCUGCCCUGUGAUUGGCUGAAUUGCUUCACGUGACUGGUUACGUCCUUCAGUUGGACGCUGCGAGGGGAGGACGGUGGCGGAGGCGAGAAGGCGCAGACGUGCGUGGGGCCGAGUGGCUGCUGGUUGGAGCCGCCGUGAGGGCAGGAGGAGGUCCAGCACCAGUCCCGGCUCCCUGGGGUGGGGAACCCCACAGCCCGUGCCCUCCUCUUGGCCCUUCCUGGGCGGCCGGCCGGCGUCUUCUUCCGGGGCAGGUCUGAGCCGCUUGGGGCGCUGGGAGCCGGCCCCGGGGAAAUGAAGAAGCGGGUUAUUGGUGAGAGGAAGCCCGCGGUGCGGACAGACCUGCUGGAAAGCGGGAGCGUCGAGGGAACUUUAUCGAAUUCGUGUCCAAAAUGAGCUCCAGAAGUGAAGAUGUGUCCAGAAUUCGCUCAGAUAGCGGGAAACUUCGCCUUGGUUUAAUCGGACACGUGGCUCUGCGGAGGGAGACGGCGUGUGUUAGUCCCGAGACCCUGCGACGCGGGGCGGCCACAUGGCGCUGUGGGGCCGGCGGGGAGCGGGGACGCCUUCCCGGCCUCUGCCUCUGAGCAGGCCAGGUCAGGAGCAGAGGGCGGCGGGUCCCCACGUUUACCGCACGGUAACCGUCCGGCUGAGAACUCGCUGUCUUGGCGCAGCCUCCGUGCCCUCGGCCACGUCUGCCACCUGAGUUGCCGCUGCUGAGCCGCGUGCCUGUGAGUGCGCGGCUUGCACCCCGGAGUCCCAGCUUCCUGGUAAAUGUGUUGUAUGUGUAUGUGUAAACUCCUGCCGGGGCCCCACCCACAGUUGGGUUUAGCGAAGGAGCCGGGAGCCUGUCAUUUAGGCUCCGCUGCCACCUGGUGGCCGCACGCCUGGAUUUAACUCCAGCGUUUAUUUUUAUGGUUCUGUUUUUUGAAAGAGAAGCAAGUCUCCUGUAAACGUUGAAGAUGUGAACCCUCAGUUAUGAAGCGUGGAAACACACGGCAGGAGAAGGGAAGCAGUGAGGGUCAGGUCAGGACGGGGAAGUUGGACAGUUUCCACGGCUUUCUGAUUUUGGGCUUCCUAGGACUGCAGUCACCUCUUUGAAAUGUUUGAAUUCCCAAGGUAUCAGAGGCCCCCAAAAUAAAAGGACCACAUCGUAUACCAAAGACGAGAUGUCAACUAUUGGUGUUAUCUAUCAUUAGUUUUACUCUUUUUCUCCAUGUGGAUGUCAAGUUACUUUCAGUGAGCCCGUUUAUUACGUUUAAAAUGAAAUGCAGACGACACUGACCUAAUGCCACACGUUCACCCUUGAACUCUGGCCCUUGCUCUGGACAAGUCUGGAGGAAACCAGCUCUGAGCAGAAGUAACCCAGCAAAGGAGAGAAUACUUCUUCCUACUCCAGAAAGGAAGGAACAAGACAAAGAUGCCUGCUUUGACCUCUGCUAUUCAGCAUUAUGUUGGAAGUUUCAGCCAGAGCAGAAAGAAGAGAGAUGGAAGGAAAUUCCUAAUUCAGAGUUAAGAGGAGGGAAAUCUGAGUGUCUAAAUUGAAGUUCUGCUGCUCAUUUUCUCAGUUUUCAGGGUGUCUAGGGAGAAGAGUCUUAGGAAUGUCCUCCAACAAAAGAGAAGGUCAAACAAUUAAAAAAAGGGUAAGUGUUGAAAAUAUGAACCAAAGAUUUCCUAGUGAGGAUGGAAGAGAAAGAACCUCUCUGGAAUUCUUUUAAAUGAAGGGAAAACACAACUGCAGUGACAUCUGAAAAAGAGUCCAAGGCAGAUGUAAAAGAAGCGGAUAUCAGAAACAGAAAUAAACAGGAGUGACAAGUUCGAAGUAACUCUGUCCUGAGAGGAGAUGGCAGUCAUCUCUUUCCCAGGCCGUUGGAGGAUGCAGUAGGAACGUCGCAGUGGUUUAGGAACUGUCAGACACGUGGCCACGCUCUGAGUGUGUUCCUUGCACGUUCUCUAGCUGAAGCUGCUGCUGCUCGCAUAAAGCCGAGCUCAUGCAAGGUUGGAGUGUUGCGGAAAUCCGCGCUAAGCUCAGGAGAUCCAGCUCCGUUUCACGGCAGACCUUUUGAAAAUUGCCAGGAGGCAAAUGUAGGUCUGAGGCCAAUUUGGAGGGUUUGCUCUAAAAUAGUACGUUUAUUUAUACCUGAAUUUGAAAAUUGUCUUUGUGCAACGGUCGCUCGCUAUCAGCCCAGAGCUGGCUUUCCACCCAGGCCUCGAGAGUGUAAUCAGCUGUUUGGGUUUCUCAUUCUGUGGUGAGUUUGUGAGUCCUGCCACACCGGAGUGAAAGGAAAUAUUUCUUCUAAGAUGUUAAAUUCCCACCCAAGUAAGCCGAUCAUCUCCCCAAACCUAAGGAUGUGUUUCAUUUAUUUGAGAAUGAAUCAUUCCAUUUCCCCUGGGAACUCGGGGUCUCUUCCCCGGGGUGCCUGGCCUGGCAGCUGAGGGGCGGUUGGGUCGUGUGUCUUCCCGAAGACUCCCUAACUGACACCUUGCAGCCCUGCGUGCCUGUCCUCGCUGGGGAUGGAUGGUGGCACCCAGGACUUUAAUAUUUUUUAACUUACUGAGUCCAAUUACCCUGCGGGCAGUUGAAAAGAUCUCACAAAGUUUAUUUCCUCCCUCCCCCUCGAACCCUCAAGAAAAAAAAAGAAAUCAUACCGAUGUUUAAAAAGGAAGCAAACAACCUUUUCUGAUGUCCUUUGAACUCCUGCUGGAUUAAUGCCCCACUGGCCUGUUUGAUUCACCAUUCUCCUACGAGCCAGAAGCAGUGUGCCCACUGUCCAUGGCUGAGGUGUCCACCUGUUGUGAGGCCAGCAAUGGUGCCAAGUGCAGCAGUGUGGGCUGCCCCACAGUCAAGUGCACAUCCCACAAGCCUUUUGUAUUAAGACCUAGUAGCCUUUAGGCCUCCAGAACAAUGGCUGCAAUGUGGAUUCAUUUCCUACAGCUGCUGGAACAAAUUAUACAAACUGGAUGGUGUAAAACCACAGAAAUUUAUUCUUUCACAGUUCUAGAGGCCCAAAGCCCCAAAACAAGGUGUUUGCAGGGCCAUGUUGCCCACAAAGGCUCUGGGGAACGAUCCUUCCUGGCCUCUUCCAGCUUCUGGUACUUGCCGGCAAUCCUUGAUGUCCCUUGGCUUGUGGCUGCAUCACUGUGGUCUCCGUCUCCCUCUUAACACCGUCUUCUCCAUGUGCGGCUGUGUCUUCAUAUGGCACUCUCCUCUUGUCUCUGUGUCCAAAUUUCCCUCUUCUUAUAGGACACCAGUCAUUGGAUCUAGGGCUGACCCUAACCCAGAGGGACCUCAUCUUGAUUAUAUCUACAGAGACCCUAUUUCCAAAUAAGGUCACAUUCCGAGGUUCUGGGUGAUGUGAAUUUGGGGGGACACUAUCCAACCCAGGACCCAACACUCCGAAGCAGAGCGAGGGCCCAGCAGGCUCAGCCCCUCCGGCUGCAGGUCAUCGCCAAUGUGACGAGCACGGUGCAAGAAAGGACUCUGCCUUCUCGCCCCUGGCUGAGGCAUGAAACAAUUCUUGGUACUAAAUAUGGUACAGGUUCAUUACACAAACACUUAUCAAGAGCUUACUGUGUGUCUGCCGUUUUGCCAGGCGACACGGAGGAUACAGCAGUGCCUGAAAUGCAGUCCUUGGCCUCGGUGGAUUUUCACCAUUUCCCUUAAUGAACUUCAUUCCACUAGUAACAGUAAAACGAGCAGUGAUGAGAGGCAUUCUUUGACAGUUCUUCCAAUUACUAAGAUUUGCGGUUUGGUCACACGUAGCCACAAAAAAAUGCCCUAAAUUAAUAAUUUUUUUAAAGUAUCAAUUUGUAUCUUUUGAAAUAUAAAAUAUGUUUCUUUCGAAAUACUGGGCCCAUUGAAAUAGCAGUUCUGAGAAUGAAAGGGUGAAGCACAGUAAAAUUCUAAUUGGUCCUUUUGUCUCAAAGUAUUUGGAGUGAGAUGAUCGGGGAAACGAUAUUACUAAAUACAAUAUUUUGAAAUAUCAUGCCCCUUCAUUUCAUGCAAUAAAAAGGAAAGAUAAAGUUACAAAUCUGAAGUUAUAUCAGGAAAAAAAUAGUCUCUGAAAAUAGCAAAAGAAUCCCAGGGUAAUGGCCCACCAUUUGGGUAGUAUCCCAAAUUCUUGCAAAAAGACAGAAAGGAAACAUGUGUCAGUAGAAACUCUCCCAAUUAUUAAGCUUCUUAGCUCCUUAUUAGAUUGAAUAACUAGAAAACAAGUUAAUGUUAAUAGUAUCUUUUGAUUAGACCUGAAAUCUUGUGCAUUGCUCACAACGCUUGGCCAUUCAGAAUCAUGUUUGUAGAAGUGACUCAAAUUCAUGUAAAUCAUGUUCAUAUAAAUUUUGUCUCCAUCCCUCUUCUCCUUCCCAUCUUCUUUCCUUCUUUCCUUCCCCUCCCUUCUCUCCUUCUUCCUUUUCUCUUGAUUAUAUUUUUCUUCAAUUUGCCUUUUUUUUUUUCAGUUAUGCUUAGGCCUGCCCACAGCCUCUGCAGUCGUUAACAGUUCUUAGUCCCACAGGUAACUCAAGGCUAGGGAGAGUCACCUAGCCCAGCGCUUCUCAAAGUCAGUAUGCCCACAAGCGACCUGCACUGCCUUGUGCAAAUGCAGACCUUGUCAGUAGGCCUGGAGUGAGCCCGCGAGUCCACGUUCCUGACCAGCUCCUGGUGUGUGGGCCACACAGAGCGAGGAAGGAGAUCCCUCGGUGAGAUUCCCCGGCACCUUUGUGAUGUUCAGGUACAUUUCCUUUCCCUUCAAUGUAGAGAAGACACCAAAGAGGUAACCGGGCGAGGGGAAGGGGUGAAGUCCCAGAAUUGGGGGAUGUGUGGGGGGGAAAGAGGUAGGAUUCGGAGGAUGUGACAGCACAGUCCUGAACGAAGUGAGGAGGGAGCUUCCUGGCUGGGUUUGCUUCCCUCCAGGUUGAGAAUCCAACAGAUGACCAGCCGAGGGGACGAAAUGGACAGUUACCAGGCAAGGCCUUCAGAAACCUCUAGAUGCGGGACGCAGAGUGUUCUCGGGACUCACGCACAUACCAUCAGAUUGGUGGGCUCCAUGCUCGCACUUCCCGUUGCCGUUUUAACCAUUCUCUGAUCUUGUCCGGAUUUUGAACAUCUCUCAGAGGAGAGGGGCAUUUCCUGGGACCAACAAACAUCCAAAUUAACCAUUGCCAGACCACCCACCAUGAUUCAUGCUAAGGUCACUUAGCGAACAAAGAAGAAAGACUGAAAAAGCCAAUUCACUGCUGCCAAGGAGGGUGUGUGCAAGGAGCUGCACAGUAUGAACACCAAAGCUUCAACGUGAGUCAUCACUGAUUCACCACCUUCAUUUUCUUCUUGAUGCUUAAAUUGUGUUCUCAAAGGCCAGCUCCUCCGAAACAACAGAUCCAAACUGCUGGCAACAUUUACAGCCUGUGGCAUUUCAGUUGAAGUGACAGAGCCAUACUUAAACAUUGGAAAUUGAAAAUAAUCUCUUCAAAUGACAGAUCCUUGCCUUUUGUUACAACGACCAUGUCCUUUAUAUUUCUUUACUUUAGGACUUUCUCUUCAUGUUAACAAUCAAGUGAUUACCAUAUUAAGGUUGCUGCAGUGUGCAAAUGGUUAUAAAAUAAAUGCAAACAAUAAUAAAUAUUCUUAUUGCUCUUCUUGUUACUAUUCCAAUAGUGGUAAAUCUGGGCCAUUCUUGACUGCUAUACAAGAAACAAGGUGAGACGAAAAGGAAGUCCUCGACAGUUUGCCCUAUUUUGGCUGCUUACGAUCGGACGCUCACGAGGCCAAGAUCAUAGGCUGAAUUUUCUUAUGGGCGCUGUGACUACAUAUCCCAUAUUUUUCUGAGACAGUCAUAAUUCCAGAUAUUGUUUUGUUAUUUUCAUCCAUUCAAGUUGGUCAGGCCAUGAGUCUCCAUUUGUUAUUGGAUGUCUUAUCUAAAGAUAUGUACCCCUGGGCAAGGAGGUGUGUCACAUCUUUCAUCUAGAAGCCUCAUGAGAGAGUGUGGAUCAAAGCAAGUCUGUCCUCACCAGCUUCGGGGACAUCCUAGUGGCGCAUCCAUGGUGCCAUCUUCCCGUGUAAGAGAGAAGUUUGCAGUAAAGGUGUGGUGAGUGGGAUGUUUAAGUGGUGAAUAAGUGAAGUAAAAAACUACUUUCUUUGUGAAGUCUAGGUGCUGAAGUUUUUCAUAUUCCUUUAAAUAUUUUGAACUUUAUUCUGGGACACAGUUAAAUUACUUGGAAACAUUUGAUCCUUUUGGAUCCAGCCUUCAAGCUCUGUUAGGCAGGACCAGAACAGUGCCGAGUCCAGGGCCAAUUUGGCCUCACUUCUAAGACAAUACCCCCAAGUACUCAGUGCUCCGUGCAUCAUGACGUUUCUCCACUCUGCUGUGGGAAACAUGAACUAUUCCCAGCCCUGCAUGCGAGCUCUGAGAAUUUUUCCAUCUGAUCCUUUCUGGUGGUUUUUCCUCGGUUUUGCGUAGUUUCCUGACGUGCAUGUUCUGGUCAAUACUCAGCCGAAACCUUGAGAUGGAGCCUCUGCAGACUGCUCCUGUGCGUCUUUCUCCCCUCUGGUACUCCACCCUGAGAAUUCUAGCUGCCUCAGCCUCCCCGAAUUCUCAACUCUGUCUCCUCAACUAAGGAGACCACCGGGGGCUUGGGUUCCCCCUCCUUGCACUGUGGCCUGUCCCCCUCUGCAGGCAGAAAACUGGGGCAGCUGUGGGGCCCGCCCUGUUUCUUUCCCUUCUCACAAGGAUCACUGUCCUGCAGUGCUUAUUGUCCAAUGUCUGAAAGCC
Molecule: long non-coding RNA, 8759 nt
Filed under: Equus caballus (horse)
Lineage: Eukaryota; Metazoa; Chordata; Mammalia; Perissodactyla; Equidae
Description: lncRNA (ENSECAG00000044030.1)
Source: RNAcentral